Molecule: non-coding RNA, 100 nt
Organism: Mycena leptocephala
Lineage: Eukaryota; Fungi; Basidiomycota; Agaricomycetes; Agaricales; Mycenaceae
Source: the annotation of a GenBank genome assembly
GACCUGAUGGCACAGUUGGUUAGUGUGUCUGCUCACAGUAAUGUGGGUGUGUAUACGUAGAUGUCAGCGGAAGGUCCCGGUUCGAAUCCGGGUCAGGUCA